RNAcentral lists this small RNA (170 nucleotides) under Klebsiella pneumoniae. RNAcentral's name for it is "RtT sRNA". The stretch from base 1 to 66 matches the Rfam family "tRNA". The record is from RNAcentral. Lineage: Bacteria; Pseudomonadati; Pseudomonadota; Gammaproteobacteria; Enterobacterales; Enterobacteriaceae.
UAGCUCAGUUGGUAGAGCAGUUGACUUUUAAUCAAUUGGUCGCAGGUUCGAAUCCUGCACGACCCACCAAUCGUUCUGGUGGAACGCGAUAGUAAAACGUGAAGGAUAACGUUGCGUCAGCAACGGCCCGUAGGGCAAGGCGAAGCCGAGUCAUCCUACACGACCCACCG